GCGGCCUAUCAGCUUGUUGGUGGGGUGAUGGCCUACCAAGGCGACGACGGGUAGCCGGCCUGAGAGGGUGAUCGGCCACAUUGGGACUGAGAUACGGCCCAGACUCCUACGGGAGGCAGCAGUGGGGAAUAUUGCACAAUGGGCGGAAGCCUGAUGCAGCGACGCCGCGUGAGGGAUGACGGCCUUCGGGUUGUAAACCUCUUUCAGCAGGGACGAAGCGUAAGUGACGGUACCUGCAGAAGAAGCACCGGCUAACUAUGUGCCAGCAGCCGCGGUAAUACGUAGGGUGCGAGCGUUGUCCGGAAUUACUGGGCGUAAAGAGCUCGUAGGCGGUUUGUCACGUCGUCUGUGAAAUCCUAGGGCUUAACCCUGGACGUGCAGGCGAUACGGGCUGACUUGAGUACUACAGGGGAGACUGGAAUUCCU
This 426-nucleotide ribosomal RNA is filed under the name uncultured Actinomycetes bacterium. RNAcentral describes it as "bacterial SSU rRNA". It matches the Rfam family "Bacterial small subunit ribosomal RNA", at positions 233 to 671 of the family's 1533-position model. The record is from RNAcentral. Lineage: Bacteria; Bacillati; Actinomycetota; Actinomycetes.